Molecule: long non-coding RNA, 1380 nt
Filed under: Dermacentor andersoni
Lineage: Eukaryota; Metazoa; Arthropoda; Arachnida; Ixodida; Ixodidae
Description: uncharacterized LOC126547407
Source: RNAcentral
GCCUCCUUUGUCCGUAUCUCUAUGUUGCACAGUUACUCUGUCGUUAUCUACCAACAAGCCCAAGUUCUUCAUCAGCUACAUUUACUAAUUCUCCGUUAUUACAAUUUCAUUGAUACAACAUUAAAAGUACAGAGGUACACAGGAAGACAGAGACUUGAAAUGAUGAAGAGCCGUAGAACAAGGAGCAUCGCUGGAGCCAAUGUUUCGACAAAGAGAAGGAGAUAAGUUUUCUUGUCAAACCAUUGGCUCCAGUAAAAUUUCUUGUUCUAUCACUAUUUACGAUUAAAAGACAGCACUAUUGCUCUUGCUGAAGUAUUAUGCAUUAUAGAAUAAAAAUUUGCAGGGUGAAAUGUCAGGAAUGUGAAAUUGCUUGUGUAUUUUAAUGCUACAGCGAAAGCCAGAAAAACAAGAUGUAGAUAACCACAUUGUUAUUUGUCACUACCCAGUUUGGCCAACUUCAUUCAGAGCUGGCACUUUGUUGCAUUAACGACCACUGGAAUUCAUUAAUUGAAUUGCUUCGUGAUUUACUUAUGUUUAGAGAUGUUGAACUUGUUUUAAUGCAGCUUAACAUAAUGCGUGUAAAAAAUAUACAAUGACAUUUUAAGAGGCUUGCAGUUGACUAGCAGAUCACUUGAUGGUAUGAGCUCAGGUUUCCACUGAGCUUCCAUGCACAAAUCGGAUGCACAUUCUUUUUUUUUCAUUGCUUGGAUUUUCAUAAACAUAAGUACCAUUUCUUCUUUGUCGACGUUCUAGUUGUGUUGUAGGACCUAACUGUUUACAUUUGUAUUGGUAUCCAUGUUACACAGACAGCUGAAUUUUUCUUGUAAAUUGUGACAUGGUAGGACUAAGACCAUUUGUGCAAAUUUGCUGCAGGUACACUCUGGUGGCUCCCGCGCCUGCAUCCUACCACCACCGUGUCCUGACUACGUCCACUAGGGAGUUCGAAGCCUUUGGCAGCUCCUGCCACUGCGUCCUGCCACCACCGUGUCCUGACUACGUCCACUAGAGAGUUGGCAGCCUUCGUAAUGAUGCCAAGCAGGCUGGAAGCCGACAGAAAGAUUAAGGUUGCCUCGAAAUUUUACCCAAGCCAUGCCACACACUCGGGCCAGGCCUCUUGCGAACGACGUAUAACCAGGCUCAACGCAUGAGUGUCGAGUGAGUCCGGAGAUCAAGGCAACCUGCUGUGCAACCAGCGUGCAACCUUUGGUGACCCUUCUACAUGUUCCACCUAGUUCACAGCUGUACCUCAGCCUAUCCAAACAGCAUCACCAGCUGUGGUCACUCAUGGAACCAUGGAUGAAUGUUGGGGUGGAGUGAUUUGAAAAGGCAUUCUAUUUGUCUCUUCAACUUCUUAGCAAAUAAUUGUGUUAUUAUAAUUCA